This 442-nucleotide unclassified non-coding RNA is filed under the name Agrilus planipennis (emerald ash borer). RNAcentral describes it as "uncharacterized LOC112904994, transcript variant X1". Lineage: Eukaryota; Metazoa; Arthropoda; Insecta; Coleoptera; Buprestidae. The record is from RNAcentral.
AUAUGUCAUAAUUGUAAUAAUUUUUUUUUUGUGGAAAUUUAAACCCUUUAAUUUUUUUUCGUAUUUAGUUUUUGCGCUGCUGGCGCGCAUGCCCCAAUAACUUGCACAGAAAUGAAAAAAAUGUAAUUUAUAUCGACCUGCUACUGUGGUGACGAUGAAGAUGAACAGCCUUCUUCGGAUAGCGAGUUAGAUAUUGAAUUUUCACCUCCUGGGUUGCUUAGGCAUAGAGCAUUGAAACGAAGAAACAAACCUAAGACUGAGGCUGAUACGCAAUAUGAUCCUGCAGAUUUUACAGUUCAAAAACCAAAAGGAAAAGGUGGCAAAAAGGACAAGAAAGGCGGAAAGAAAGGGAAAAAGAAGUGAACCUUCUUAAGGAAAAUUUCAGUUAAUUAAACACAAUGUUUUAUUUUAAUAUUAAAUAUAUUAACUAUCUCAAUUUGCA